GGGAGCACGCUUAGGCGUGUGACUGCGUACCUUUUGUAUAAUGGGUCAGCGACUUAUAUUCUGUAGCAAGGUUAACCGAAUAGGGGAGCCGAAGGGAAACCGAGUCUUAACUGGGCGUUAAGUUGCAGGGUAUAGACCCGAAACCCGGUGAUCUAGCCAUGGGCAGGUUGAAGGUUGGGUAACACUAACUGGAGGACCGAACCGACUAAUGUUGAAAAAUUAGCGGAUGACUUGUGGCUGGGGGUGAAAGGCCAAUCAAACCGGGAGAUAGCUGGUUCUCCCCGAAAGCUAUUUAGGUAGCGCCUCGUGAAUUCAUCUCCGGGGGUAGAGCACUGUUUCGGCAAGGGGGUCAUCCCGACUUACCAACCCGAUGCAAACUGCGAAUACCGGAGAAUGUUAUCACGGGAGACACACGGCGGGUGCUAACGUCCGUCGUGAAGAGGGAAACAACCCAGACCGCCAGCUAAGGUCCCAAAGUCAUGGUUAAGUGGGAAACGAUGUGGGAAGGCCCAGACAGCCAGGAUGUUGGCUUAGAAGCAGCCAUCAUUUAAAGAAAGCGUAAUAGCUCACUGGUCGAGUCGGCCUGCGCGGAAGAUGUAACGGGGCUAAACCAUGCACCGAAGCUGCGGCAGCGACGCUUAUGCG
Molecule: ribosomal RNA, 645 nt
Filed under: Escherichia coli
Lineage: Bacteria; Pseudomonadati; Pseudomonadota; Gammaproteobacteria; Enterobacterales; Enterobacteriaceae
Description: partial 23S ribosomal RNA
Rfam family: Bacterial large subunit ribosomal RNA
Source: RNAcentral